AUACGAGGGUAAACCACUAGGUUAAGGUAAAUUAAAUUCAAUAUGAAUGUGAGGCUUAUUAUCACUCAAUUAAAGUGAUUUGAUGAAUGCUAACCCUAACCUAGAUAGGUCAAUAUGGGAGUGAACGUGGGUGUGUUAGGAGGCCUACCCGAUUUGCUGAUGGCUCUAAUACUUGAUAGACCCCUAGGUAGUAGGAAGACACCCCAUC
This 208-nucleotide long non-coding RNA is filed under the name Elaeis guineensis (African oil palm). RNAcentral describes it as "long non-coding RNA (EGUI_LNC001752)". Lineage: Eukaryota; Viridiplantae; Streptophyta; Magnoliopsida; Arecales; Arecaceae. The record is from RNAcentral.